ACAUAAAAAAGUAACCAAGCUGGUUUGUGGUGACUUUUCCUGGAACGCUACCAAGUCGUGAGUCGUGACUUGAAGUCGUAACUUACGGGAUAAAAACUGUGUCUUGAACGCAGCAUAAGAAUCAGAG
This is a long non-coding RNA of Etheostoma spectabile (orangethroat darter), 127 nucleotides long. RefSeq lists it as uncharacterized. The transcript has 3 exons. The record is from RefSeq and is a predicted model, not a curated record. NCBI's taxonomy places the organism in Eukaryota, Metazoa, Chordata, Actinopteri, Perciformes, Percidae.